RNAcentral lists this ribosomal RNA (497 nucleotides) under uncultured bacterium. RNAcentral's name for it is "partial 16S ribosomal RNA". It matches the Rfam family "Bacterial small subunit ribosomal RNA", at positions 28 to 507 of the family's 1533-position model. The record is from RNAcentral.
GAUGAACGCUGGCGGCGUGCCUAAUACAUGCAAGUCGAGCGAACGGACGAGAAGCUUGCUUCUCUGAUGUUAGCGGCGGACGGGUGAGUAACACGUGGAUAACCUACCUAUAAGACUGGGAUAACUUCGGGAAACCGGGGCUAAUACCGGAUAAUAUUUUGAACCGCAUGGUUCAAAAGUGAAAGACGGUCUUGCUGUCACUUAUAGAUGGAUCCGCGCUGCAUUAGCUAGUUGGUAAGGUAACGGCUUACCAAGGCAACGAUGCAUAGCCGACCUGAGAGGGUGAUUGGCCACACUGGAACUGAGAAACGGUCCAGACUCCUACGGGAGGCAGCAGUAGGGAAUCUUCCGCAAUGGGCGAAAGCCUGACGGAGCAACGCCGCGUGAGUGAUGAAGGUCUUCGGAUCGUAAAACUCUGUUAUUAGGGAAGAACAUAUGUGUAAGUAACUGUGCACAUCUUGACGGUACCUAAUCAGAAAGCCACGGCUAACUACGUG